RNAcentral lists this ribosomal RNA (554 nucleotides) under uncultured bacterium. RNAcentral's name for it is "bacterial SSU rRNA". It matches the Rfam family "Archaeal small subunit ribosomal RNA", at positions 725 to 1275 of the family's 1478-position model. The record is from RNAcentral.
AGUGAAUAGAUACCCUGGUAGUCCUAGCCGUAAACGAUACUCGCUAGGUGUCGGCCACGGUGCGACCGUUGUCGGUGCCGUAGGGAAAGCCGUGAAGCGAGCCACCUGGGAAGUACGGCCGCAAGGCUGAAACUUAAAGGAAUUGGCGGGGGAGCACCACAACGGGUGGAGCUUGCGGUUUAAAUUGGAUUCAACGCCGGAAAUCUUACCGGGACCGACAGCAACAUGAAGGCCAGGCUGAAGACUUUGCCGGAUUAGCUGAGAGGUGGUGCAUGGCCGUCGUCAGUUCGUACUGUGAAGCAUCCUGUUAAGUCAGGCAACGAGCGAGACCCACGCCCACAGUUGCCAGCGUACUCUCCGGAGUGACGGGUACACUGUGGGGACCGCCGCUGCUAAAGCGGAGGAAGGAAUGGGCAACGGUAGGUCAGUAUGCCCCGAAUAUCCCGGGCUACACGCGAGCUACAAUGGUUGGUACAAUGGGUAUCUACCCCGAAAGGGUAUGGAAAUCUCCUAAAGCCAAUCUUAGUUCGGAUUGAGGGCUGCAACUCGCCCUC